UCCCUGGUGGUCCAGUGGUUAGGGUUUGACACUGUCACUGCUGAGGGUCUGGGUUCAAUCCCUAAUCUGGGAA
Molecule: transfer RNA, 73 nt
Organism: Ovis aries (sheep)
Lineage: Eukaryota; Metazoa; Chordata; Mammalia; Artiodactyla; Bovidae
Rfam family: tRNA
About the family: Transfer RNA (tRNA) molecules are approximately 80 nucleotides in length.
Source: Rfam